UCUCUAUUCACACCUCACUUCCUGCAACAGGAGAUGGGUCAGCUCCUGUGAUGGCAGUCGUUCGGCUCCUUGCUGAAAUAAGGACAAGAGCAUGCCUGGUCAUGGCCCAGCUUUUAGAAGACAGCUUAUUUUGUGAAGAAUUCAUACAACAAUGUCCAGCGGCUGUUGAAGUUCUUAACCUAGUAGCCCAGGAAUGUAGUGCUGGAGAGCGACUUGCAGUUGUGGAGGUACAGUGUGAACGGCUGAGGAUGCUCUACCGGGACUGUGCUCGGCCCCCACCGCCUCCUUUGCAGGCUGACCGGAGACAGCCCAAAGAGAUUACUUGGAGCCCCUCGCGAGUGUUUCCGCCUGUUCGAGCCUGCAUGUUCUCAUCUCACCUUACCUCAGUCACCUUCCUGGCUGACCCCAGCGCUGGGGGAGGCCUGCCCCGGGGCACUUUUAUCUAUGCCACUUCACCAUUGCCAGUUCAGGCCCCAUCUUUUUACUGGGAAAUUGAAAUCGUUUCCUAUGGAGACACCGAUGAUGACACUGGGCCCAUAGUUUCCUUUGGCUUCACUACAGAAGCAGAGAAGCGAGAUGGGGCUUGGACUAAUCCAGUGGGCACUUGUCUUUUCCAUAACAAUGGCCGAGCCGUGCACUACAAUGGCUCCAGUUUGUUACAGUGGAAGAGCGUUCGCUUAGACGUGACUCUCUCCCCCGGUGACGUGGCAGGAAUCGGCUGGGAGAGAACCGAGGGGACUCCACCUCCUCCGGGACAGCCAGCCAAGGGCCGAGUGUACUUCACAUACUGCGGGCAGCGCCUCUCACCGUAUCUUGAAGACGUCUCUGGUGGCAUGUGGCCAGUGGUUCACAUUCAGAAAAAGAACACCAAAACCCGAGCUAACUUUGGCUCCCGGCCGUUUGCCUACGCGGAAGGGCAGGCCCACCGCAACGCUGCUGACCUGUGCACUGACCUAGCAGAAGAGAUCAGCGCUAACUUUGAGGCCCUGCCUUUCGCCAUGGCAUCUGACAGUGACAAUGAUGCUGGCACCAGUAUUGCAUCAGACCCAGGCACUCAUGGGCCACCAUGCCGGAUUGCUGCCGUGGCCACCGCUCAGCAACAAUAUGAUAGUGACACCUCCUGUCAUUAUAAAGUCGAGCUCAGCUAUGAGAAUUUCAUCACCUCUGGCCCAGACCCUCACCCGCCUCCCAUUGCAGAUGAUGAAAGCGAUGAUGAUGACGAUGAUGACAUCCCGCAGGAGGACCACUACGCCCUGCUGGUGAAAGCAUGGGAGACCAAGGUUUUUCCUACCAUCCGAAGACGCUUCCGCAAUGAAGCAGAGCGGAAAUCGGGCCUGGACCAGAUAAAGGGGGCCUUACAACUAGGUAUGGUGGAUAUUGCCCGACAGACGGUUGAAUUUCUCUAUGAAGAGAAUGGUGGCAUCCCAAGAGACCUUUAUCUUCCCACCAUUGAAGACAUUAAAGACGAAGCAAACAAGUUCACAAUUGAUAAAGUUCGAAAAGGUCUCACAGUAGUAACCCGCUCUCCAGACAGCAAUAAUGUAGCCAGCAGUGCUGUUGGAACUGCUCUGCCAAAAUUUGCCAUCCGAGGGAUGCUGAAAACCUUUGGGCUUCAUGGAGUCGUCUUAGAUGUUGAUUCAGUGAGUGAACAGCCAUUCUGAUUAAUAAGCUAUUUUAUGUAUACUGAGGCUGUCAUGCCCAGAUUCCCAAGUACCUUAAAAAGUGAUUAUACAGAUGAGUUUCUCUUCAAAUCAGGGACGAAGACACAAAGCAAAAAUGCUCUAAUGCCAAUUGACUUGCCUGAGCUUUCCUCAGGGACUCAGAUCAGGGCUGGCAAUAGAUGGUAGGCUGUCCAGUCUGAAAGCUGUCAGCGCCUUCAGACCACACCACGUCUACCAUUAUUUUCUGUCUGACAUGUUCAAACUGUUCCUGCAUUAUAUCUACCCAAGUUCCCAGGGAAAAGUCCCCAUUGUCCUUGAUGAAUGGAUGAUCUGUCAUUGUCAUGAUGGUCAUACAGACACAAAUCAAAGAAAUAGGCUGGGCGUGGGGCUCACACCUGUAAUCCCAGCACUUUGGGAGGCCGAGGAAGGAGGAUUACCUGAGCCCAGGAGUUCAAGACCAGCCUGGGCAACAUGGCGAGACCCUGUCUCUACAAAAAAUUAGCCAGUCAUGGUGGGCAUAUCUGUAGUCCCAGCUAUGUGGGAGGCUAAGGUGGAGGAUCGUUUGAGCCUGAGAGGUCAAGGCUGCAGUGAGCUGUGAUGGCCUCAGUGUUCUCCAGCCUGGGCAACAGAGUGAGUCCCUGUCUCCAAAGG
RNAcentral lists this small RNA (2312 nucleotides) under Pongo abelii (Sumatran orangutan). RNAcentral's name for it is "retained intron". The record is from RNAcentral. Lineage: Eukaryota; Metazoa; Chordata; Mammalia; Primates; Hominidae.